GCUCAACUGUGGAACUGCCUUUGAUACUGUCAGUCUAGAGUAUAGUUGAAGUUGGCGGAAUGUGUCAUGUAGCGGUGAAAUGCUUAGAUAUGACACAGAACACCGAUCGCGAAGGCAGCUAGCUAAGCUAUAACUGACGCUCAUGCACGAAAGCGUGGGGAUCAAACAGGAUUAGAUACCCUGGUAGUCCACGCUGUAAACGAUGAUUACUCGAUGUUGGCGAUACACAGUCAGCGUCUGAGCGAAAGCAAUAAGUAUUCCGCCUGGGGAGUACGGUCGCAAGAUUAAAACUCAAAGGAAUUGACGGGGACCCGCACAAGCAGCGGAGCAUGUGGUUUAAUUCGAAGCAACGCGAAGAACCUUACCUAGACUUGACAUCUCCUGAAUUACUCGUAACAGAGGAAGCCCUUCGGGGCAGGAAGACAGGUGGUGCAUGGUUGUCGUCAGCUCGUGUCGUGAGAUGUUGGGUUAAGUCCCGCAACGAGCGCAACCCUUAUCGUUAGUUGCUACCAUUAAGUUGAGCACUCUAGCGAGACUGCCUGGGUUAACCAGGAGGAAGGUGGGGAUGACGUCAAAUCAUCAUGCCCCUUAUGUCUAGGGCUACACACGUGCUACGAUGGCCGGUACAACGAGAAGCAAACCCGUGAGGGGGAGCCAAACUAAAAAACCGGUCCCAGUUCGGAUUGUAGGCUGAAACUCGCCUACAUGAAGUUGGAGUUGCUAGUAAUCGCGAAUCAGAAUGUCGCGGUGAAUACGUUCCCGGGUCUUGUACACACCGCCCGUCACACCAUGAGAGCCGGUAACACCCGAAGCCUGUGAGGUAACCGCAAGGAGCCAGCAGUCGAAGGUGGGAUUGGUGAUUGGGGUGAAGUCGUAACAAGGUAGCCG
RNAcentral lists this ribosomal RNA (888 nucleotides) under uncultured bacterium. RNAcentral's name for it is "bacterial SSU rRNA". It matches the Rfam family "Bacterial small subunit ribosomal RNA", at positions 607 to 1502 of the family's 1533-position model. The record is from RNAcentral.